RNAcentral lists this small nucleolar RNA (139 nucleotides) under Schistosoma mattheei. RNAcentral describes it as "Small nucleolar RNA U3". It matches the Rfam family "Small nucleolar RNA U3". Rfam says of the family: Small nucleolar RNAs (snoRNAs) are involved in the processing and modification of rRNA in the nucleolus. There are two main classes of snoRNAs: the box C/D class, and the box H/ACA class. U3 snoRNA is a member of the box C/D class. The record is from Rfam by way of RNAcentral. Lineage: Eukaryota; Metazoa; Platyhelminthes; Trematoda; Strigeidida; Schistosomatidae.
GAGAUCGUACUUCUAGGGAUCAGUCCUAUAGUACGUAUCACCAAGUCGUUUUAUUUUUUUUAGUGAUGAUAACAUUUCUUACUUUCAUGUGUGUUAUGUCUGACGCUUUAGUUCAAUUUCAUGGACAUGUUCUCGUGAG